UCACUCGCAUUUGUAGUUUCACGCGAGCGGCUGGAACUUCAAACAGUUCCGAUUCGCAGGAAAACUUUACGCAGUAAAAGCGUGGAUGCUCCUCAGCGCUUCAGCUGUUGGAGCCAAUCUGUCAUUAGGCGGAGACGGGCGUCACUAACAUAACACCUACAGGACUUCUAGUUGUUAUUUACUCUCAGACGUUUUCUCUCUUCCGUCUCAUUAUCACACGGUAUCACCCGUUUCAUGCCUGCGCCCUACUGCAGAGGCACCUGUGUCUUUUCCUCUUUUACUUCUCAGCUGUUUGAGUCAGAGAGCAGCACCUACACCUACCUGCUGGCAGACGCACAGACCAAGGAGGCCGUGCUCAUCGACCCGGUUCUGGAGACCAUUGACAGGGACCUGAAGCUCAUAGAGGAACUGGGGCUGGAUCUCAAAGUGGCAGUGAACACCCACUGCCACGCCGACCACAUCACCAGCACUGGGCUGAUGAAGAAAAGAGUGGUGGGGCUGCAGAGUGCCAUCUCCAAGUUCAGUGGAGCUGCUGCAGACAUCCAGCUGUCAGAGGGAGACCACAUCACCUUUGGGAAACACCGUCUGACAGUGAGGGAGACUCCAGGACACACUGACGGCUGUGUGACGCUGGUGUUGGGGGAUCAGAGCAUGGCUUUUACUGGGGACGCGCUGCUGAUCAGAGGCUGCGGCAGGACGGAUUUCCAGCAGGGCAGCGCUGAGAAGCUCUACGAGUCCAUUCACCAGAAGAUCUUCACUCUGCCUGAGAGCUGCCUGCUCUACCCAGCACACGACUACAAAGGGCCUGACGCUGUAUUUGUCUCCGUGCAUCAGGUCGAACCGUGUCCACGGUGGGUGAGGAGCGGAGGUUCAACCCACGUUUGACCAAGAGCCUGCAGGAGUUUGUGAGCAUCAUGAACAACCUGAACCUGUCCCUGCCAAAGAAAAUGGCUGUUUCAGUUCCUGCUAAUCUGGUUUGUGGAAUACAAGAUUAAACAUCCAGCAUUUUAUUACAUUUUAGUAACAUUUUAGCAUUUAUGUUUCCCAUAAGUGCCUACUGUAAAAAUGAAAAUUAUGGAUGUUAUUGUUUUGAUAUUAUAAAUGAUUAACUGGUUCCCUUAUGCCUUUUGCCAAAGACUCACACUCAUAUGCACCUCAUGAAACCUGUUAAAUAAAACUAUCCACUCUCAUGC
This is an RNA transcript of Betta splendens (Siamese fighting fish), 1193 nucleotides long. It is a transcript of the gene named persulfide dioxygenase ETHE1, mitochondrial-like, with no coding region annotated. The record is from RefSeq and is a predicted model, not a curated record. The transcript has 6 exons. NCBI's taxonomy places the organism in Eukaryota, Metazoa, Chordata, Actinopteri, Anabantiformes, Osphronemidae.